AUUGAACGCUGGCGGCAGGCCUAACACAUGCAAGUCGAACGGUAACAGGAAGAAGCUUGCUUCUUUGCUGACGAGUGGCGGACGGGUGAGUAAUGUCUGGGAAACUGCCUGAUGGAGGGGGAUAACUACUGGAAACGGUAGCUAAUACCGCAUAACGUCGCAAGACCAAAGAGGGGGACCUUCGGGCCUCUUGCCAUCGGAUGUGCCCAGAUGGGAUUAGCUAGUAGGUGGGGUAACGGCUCACCUAGGCGACGAUCCCUAGCUGGUCUGAGAGGAUGACCAGCCACACUGGAACUGAGACACGGUCCAGACUCCUACGGGAGGCAGCAGUGGGGAAUAUUGCACAAUGGGCGCAAGCCUGAUGCAGCCAUGCCGCGUGUAUGAAGAAGGCCUUCGGGUUGUAAAGUACUUUCAGCGGGGAGGAAGGGAGUAAAGUUAAUACCUUUGCUCAUUGACGUUACCCGCAGAAGACGCACCGGCUAACUCCGUG
RNAcentral lists this ribosomal RNA (490 nucleotides) under uncultured bacterium. RNAcentral's name for it is "partial 16S ribosomal RNA". It matches the Rfam family "Bacterial small subunit ribosomal RNA", at positions 30 to 507 of the family's 1533-position model. The record is from RNAcentral.